CAGAAUGCGAGAACUGUGUGCGUUACCAACAAGAGAUUGAACGUCUGCGAGCAGAACUACAGAAGCGAAACGCGGUGGAGUGAUGGAGAAGGAAGUGGAUUCUGUUCUUAUAAAGGAUCUCUCUAACUGUUUUGCUAGGCUUGACAGGAUUAUGUUAAGCAACAAGCCACGCAUAUAUGCGAUCUGUCUGCCUGACCUUCUGUUGUUCUACCUAUUAAAUAUGAUUUUAAUAAAGAUUCCUUGGGGAAAAAAAUGUUUAAUAUUAAA
This is a long non-coding RNA of Brienomyrus brachyistius, 267 nucleotides long. RefSeq lists it as uncharacterized. The transcript is spliced from 3 exons. Lineage: Eukaryota; Metazoa; Chordata; Actinopteri; Osteoglossiformes; Mormyridae. The record is from RefSeq and is a predicted model, not a curated record.